This 253-nucleotide ribosomal RNA is filed under the name uncultured bacterium. RNAcentral describes it as "partial 16S ribosomal RNA". It matches the Rfam family "Bacterial small subunit ribosomal RNA", at positions 524 to 776 of the family's 1533-position model. The record is from RNAcentral.
UACGGAGGGAGCUAGCGUUGUUCGGAAUUACUGGGCGUAAAGCGCACGUAGGCGGCUUUGUAAGUUAGCGGUGAAAGCCCGGGGCUCAACCCCGGAAUUGCCUUUAAGACUGCAUCGCUUGAAUCCGGGAGAGGUGAGUGGAAUUCCGAGUGUAGAGGUGAAAUUCGUAGAUAUUCGGAAGAACACCAGUGGCGAAGGCGGCUCACUGGACCGGUAUUGACGCUGAGGGACGAAAGCGUGGGGAGCAAACAGG